GUUAUGACAAUGCAGACCUCACGUGCCCGAAGGCGCCAAAUUCAAGUUACAUACACAACUACAUUUUUAGUUGAGCUGAAUAGCAUUGCUGUUAAAGAACCAAAGUCACCCAGUGAGACAGAUGUACUUAAGAAUGAAGCAGCUUGGUUUAUGAAAGUUGCAUGGAAUAUGGCAAUAGAGCACUCCACAUUGAGCAGACUUGCACAUCUUUUCUUUGUCAAGUGUAGUAAG
Long non-coding RNA from Lytechinus pictus (painted urchin), 231 nucleotides. RefSeq lists it as uncharacterized. The record is from RefSeq and is a predicted model, not a curated record. The transcript has 3 exons. NCBI's taxonomy places the organism in Eukaryota, Metazoa, Echinodermata, Echinoidea, Temnopleuroida, Toxopneustidae.